AUGUCUGUGCGAAGGCCGCGGGGGGAAGAAGACGACGAGCAGGGCAGCGGAGGGGACGAUCAUCAGCAACGGCACGGCGCGAGGCGGAUACGGCCGGCCACCCCAGUCUCCUUCAGAUCCGUCGUCAGAAGAGCCGUCACAGCAGACACUAUCCAACAAAUUGUGUUUGGUUUGGAACCAGUUAUUCGUAGGGUGGUACGGGAGGAAAUUCAGAACAUCUUUUAUCAGCGUGAUCACUUACCAUACAGGUCUCUUCCUUCACCCAUCCAACAAGUCGAUGUUCCGCCUAGGUUGAAGCUUUCCUUUGCAAAGAAGCUCAUGCUACCGAUCUUCACCAACAACAAGCUAGUUGAUGCCGCAAAGAACGCCAUUGAAAUCUGGCUUAUAGAUACUAGAACCAACCAUCGUAUCACAGAAACAAACACUAACCAAGGCUCUUCAACAAUGAAGCUAGAGGUACUUGUCCUAGAUGGUGACUUCAGAUGUGAAGACGACAUGGUGUGGACAAAUGAUCAGUUCAACGCUGCAAUCAUGAAGGCCAGAGAGGGUAGGAGACCACUGCUUGUGGGUAGUACACUCAAUGUAGCAAUGAACAAUCAAGGAGUGGCUGUUAUAGAGGAUGUGGCUUUCACUGACAAUUCAAGUUGGAUAAGGAGUAGGAGGUUCCGAAUUGGUGUGCGCGUCAUGGCAACUAGCUAUUAUGGGCCAAGGAUUCAAGAGGCAUUGAGUGAAAGCUUCACAGUGAAAGAUCAUCGUGGCGAAUUGUACAAGAAGCAUUACCCUCCAAUCCUUUCCGACAAUAUAUGGAGGCUCAAAAACAUCGGAAAAGAUGGGCCAAUUGAUAAGAGACUGGAGUCCGAGGGGAUCAAGAAUGUCCAGGACUUCUUGAAACUUCACACGAUAGAUCCUGAUAAGCUAAAAAACCUCGUUGGCAUGUCAGAUCGGCAAUGGAGAACAACACUCAAUCAUGCAAAAACGUGUAGUAUGGGAGGGAAAUGUUAUGUUUUCAAAUCUGAAGGGUGUGAUGUUAUAUUCAGCCCCAUAGGAGAGAUUUUGGCAGCCAGAAUUGGAGACCAGACAUGCUCUUUGCAACAACUACACCAGGAACAUAAGGCCCAAGUGAACCAAUUGGCCUCCAUGGCAUAUGAGCAAUGGGAUCAAUUGGAGGAAGUGGUGGCAAAUGAGAUGACACUUGCUGCAUAUGAAGGUUUGACGUCAUUCCCUGAGGAAAAGCCUAGUUCGUCAUGCACACCGGCGAGUAAUGAAAGCAUGAUCAGCUCGGGGUCUCAAAAUGCCGAGUAUCUAGACAGGGUGGGUUCUAGAACAGCAACCUCUAGUGUUGCGAUGGUGACUAAUAGCAAUAACUCCUUAGAUUCUGCAUUGGCUAUUCCAACAAGUGAUGCUAUUUACUGGAUCCCAAGCUUAGCCGUUGAUGAUGACCGCUUCACCUGGAACAACUCUACAAACCUCGGUUGUUGGGAUCAAGUUGAUUAA
Molecule: ribosomal RNA, 1494 nt
Filed under: Triticum aestivum (bread wheat)
Lineage: Eukaryota; Viridiplantae; Streptophyta; Magnoliopsida; Poales; Poaceae
Description: partial small subunit ribosomal RNA
Source: RNAcentral